CUGCAUAGAUACGAUAUAAAAUAAAUAUAUACAAUUUCAAAUUGAUACAAUCUUUUUUUUUUAAAUUAUAUUCACAUUGCAUAUUAAUACAUGGUUAGAUUUUUUUUAAAAAAAAUAUUACUAUCUAACUUAUGCAACACACAUCCAAUAAGAAAAAUAUAUAGCACAAUACAAUUAAAAAAUGGUCUGAAUAAUAAAAAAAUAUAUGGUACGAAUAAUAAACAAAUACCCUAGCGGACGCACAUAUUUGCCGGUUUAACUUAAAUCUGUUUUUAGCAUAACUCAGAAUCGGUUUU
Molecule: long non-coding RNA, 296 nt
Filed under: Brassica rapa (field mustard)
Lineage: Eukaryota; Viridiplantae; Streptophyta; Magnoliopsida; Brassicales; Brassicaceae
Description: long non-coding RNA (BRAP_LNC003740)
Source: RNAcentral